RNAcentral lists this ribosomal RNA (572 nucleotides) under uncultured Glomeromycotina. RNAcentral describes it as "SSU rRNA". It matches the Rfam family "Eukaryotic small subunit ribosomal RNA", at positions 548 to 1114 of the family's 1831-position model. The record is from RNAcentral. Lineage: Eukaryota; Fungi; Glomeromycota.
UUGGAGGGCAAGUCUGGUGCCAGCAGCCGCGGUAAUUCCAGCUCCAAUAGCGUAUAUUAAAGUUGUUGCAGUUAAAAAGCUCGUAGUUGAAUUUCGGGAUUGGCGCAUCGGUCGUGCCUCACGGGGUAUGAACUGGUGCAGUCAAUUUCUCACCUUCUGGAGAACCGCGAUGUCCUUAAUUGGAUGCCGCGGGGAACCAGGACCUUUACUUUGAAAAAAUUAGAGUGUUUAAAGCAGGCAUUUUUGCUUGAAUACAUUAGCAUGGAAUAAUAAAAUAGGACGGCAUGGUUCUGUUUUGUUGGUUUCUAGGACCACCGUAAUGAUUAAUAGGGAUAGUUGGGGGCAUUAGUAUCCAAUUGUCAGAGGUGAAAUUCUUGGAUUUAUUGAAGACUAACUACUGCGGAAGCAUUUGCCAAGGAUGUUUUCAUUAAUCAAGAACGAAAGUUAGGGGAUCGAAGACGAUCAGAUACCGUCGUAGUCUUAACCAUAAACUAUGCCGACUAGGAAUCAGACGAUGUUAAUUUUUUAAUGACUCGUUUGGCACCUUACGGGAAACCAAAGUGUUUGGGUUC